Molecule: unclassified non-coding RNA, 235 nt
Filed under: Udeniozyma ferulica
Lineage: Eukaryota; Fungi; Basidiomycota; Microbotryomycetes; Colacogloeaceae
Description: partial internal transcribed spacer region
Rfam family: Eukaryotic small subunit ribosomal RNA (bases 1-46)
Source: RNAcentral
AAGUCGUAACAAGGUUUCCGUAGGUGAACCUGCGGAAGGAUCAUUAGUGAAUUUUAGGGCGCUCUUUUCUGCGGAAGCGAUUAGAGGCCUGACCUCCACUUAUCCUAACACUGUGCACUUUAUAAAUUGAAGCGGGCUUCGUUGCUCGCUCCAAUUUCUCAUCUUUAACACUAGUCAAAGAAUGUAAAUAAAACAUAACAAAGAAAAACUUUCAACAACGGAUCUCUUGGCUCUC